Molecule: long non-coding RNA, 365 nt
Filed under: Solanum tuberosum (potato)
Lineage: Eukaryota; Viridiplantae; Streptophyta; Magnoliopsida; Solanales; Solanaceae
Description: long non-coding RNA (STUB_LNC000900)
Source: RNAcentral
UGUAUUAAGUCAAAACUAAACUAGUUAAAGAGUUAAAGUUGUUUAAAUAAGUUAAAUUAAUUAAUGUGAUUUAGUUGGUGGAUUUAGUGUUGUAUUAAGUCAAAACUAAACUAGUUAAAGAGUUAAAGUUGUUUAAAUAAGUUAAAUUAAUUAAUGUGAUUUAGUUGGUGGAUUUAGUGUUGUAUUAAGUCAAAACUAAACUAGUUAAAGAGUUAAAGUUGUUUAAAUAAGUUAAAUUAAUUAAUGUGAUUUAGUUGGUGGAUUUAGUGUUGUAUUAAGUCAAAACUAAACUAGUUCAAGAGUUAAAGUUGUUUAAAUAAGUUAAAUUAAUUAAUGUGAUUUAGUUGGUGGAUUUAGUGUUGUAU